AAAUGAAUUGACGGGGGCCCGCACAAGCAGUGGAGUAUGUGGUUUAAUUCGACGCAACGCGAAGAACCUUACCAAGGCUUGACAUGUACAGGAACACUAUAGAAAUAUAGUGGCACUUCGGUGCCUGUAUGCAGGUGAUGCAUGGUUGUCGUCAGCUCGUGUCGUGAGAUGUUGGGUUAAGUCCCGCAACGAGCGCAACCCUCGUGACUAGUUGCCUCCAAGAGGAACUCUAGUUAGACUGCCGUAGUUAAUACGGAGGAAGGUGAGGAUGAUGUCAAAUCAUCACGUCCCUUAUGUCUUGGGCUACACACGUACUACAAUGACUACUACAAAGAGAAGCAAAACCGCGAGGUGGAGCAAAACUGAUAAAAGUAGUCUUAGUUCGGAUUGAAGGCUGCAACUCGCCUUCAUGAAGUCGGAAUUGCUAGUAAUCAUAGGUCAGCAUACUAUGGUGAAUACGUUCCCGGGCCUUGUACACACCGCCCGU
Molecule: ribosomal RNA, 487 nt
Filed under: uncultured bacterium
Lineage: Bacteria
Description: bacterial SSU rRNA
Rfam family: Bacterial small subunit ribosomal RNA
Source: RNAcentral